Molecule: long non-coding RNA, 268 nt
Filed under: Elaeis guineensis (African oil palm)
Lineage: Eukaryota; Viridiplantae; Streptophyta; Magnoliopsida; Arecales; Arecaceae
Description: long non-coding RNA (EGUI_LNC013175)
Source: RNAcentral
UUCAUAUAAAGUGUAGAUCAACAAAUAAUCAUGUCUAACAACUAAAAUCAAUUAAAAAAAGAGAACAAAAAUUAAAAAAUUAAAAAUUAUGGCCUGUUAAUCUUCUAAUUCUCCCGUAAAUCCCACACACACAGAGAGAGAUGGGUACCAAGAUGGAAGCGGACACCGACGGCUGUGCAGCGACGGCGAUGGCGACGGCGGUGUGGCGAUGGUAGUGACCUAUGGGUGGACUGUGAGAGAGAGAAAGCCAGAGAGAGCCAUACCUUAA